UUGGGGACUGAGAAUGGGUCAUUUUGGUGCCAUCUUUGUCCCAGAUGAGCCCAUCCAGCCAAUUGACCCUGCUGCCUGGGUGUCCCAUUCCGCGGCUCUGACUGGCACCUUCCCAGCCUAUCCAGGUUCCUCCUCCAUGAGCACCAUUACAUCUGGAUCGUCUUUGCCUGAUGGCUGUGAAGGCCGGGGUCUCUCUGUCCAUACGGACAUGGCAUCGGUGACCAAGGCCAUGGCAGCUCCAGAGUCUGGACUGGAAGUCCGGGACCGCAUGUGGCUCAAGAUCACCAUCCCUAAUGCCUUUCUGGGUAUGGCUGGGUCCUGGGCAGGUGGCUGGAGAAGGGGAGGAGGAGGUGACCAAAGCCAGGAAUGGCACAGGCAGAGGCGAGAGCAGGAGUUGGAAGAAGAACCUGAGGACAUUUUCCACUGUGGUGCUCCCAGGCUCGGAUGUGGUUGACUGGCUCUACCAUCACGUGGAGGGCUUUCCUGAGCGGCGGGAGGCCCGCAAGUAUGCCAGCGGGCUGCUCAAAGCAGGCCUGAUCCGACACACCGUCAACAAGAU
RNAcentral lists this small RNA (559 nucleotides) under Pan troglodytes (chimpanzee). Its description in RNAcentral is "retained intron". Lineage: Eukaryota; Metazoa; Chordata; Mammalia; Primates; Hominidae. The record is from RNAcentral.